GAGUGAGCUUCCGUUAGAGCGGCAGAAGCUGUGUUUUUAGCGCAGCUAGCUUAGUUUAUAGUUAUAAACUGUUUAUAUAGCGUUAAAAGCGAAGUAUUACAGUUCUAGAAAUAUAUAACCUUCAUAUUUACACAGAAACGCGCGGGGUCGGUGUGUAGCAGCUCGCUGUCCGGGGAAGGCAGGCCAGCUCUCUGAUAAUGUCAGUUUCUUUGGAUGAAGUUAUUAAAAUGUGCUGCACACAACAGGCAAAACUCACAGAAACCAUCAAACAGUGCAGAGAUAUCCUACACUCCAUGAAGGUUCCUGUGAUCCAUAUUAGUGAAGCUGACAGAUCAGCAAGUGUGUGUGUAAAAAAUGAAGACAUUCCUGUAAAAGAACUGCAAGAAAUCGAUCUAUUGGAACAAGUUCUAAAAAAGGCUGUGAAAGUCCGCAGCAGCUCUGCCCUGCUCAAAAACCAUGGAGCACAAUUACAAGAAAAGAAACCUGUAGAAAACAGCAAUCGAGUACCAGUCUCUAUCAAAACCACGGCUAAAGAUUCUGUUCAAAUAAAACCCAAAAAAUCAACACAGACUGGUCCUGCCAGGAGAGGACCUUCAGCUCAGACCACCGUCAGAGCGAAACCACUGGUAGCGAAACCUGCGACAGUACAGAUCUCCAGUACUGCUGUUCAAAAGUCUUCCAGCCAGAGCACCGACUCCAAAACCUCCACUGAGGAGAAGAUUAUAGCUGGACCACCGACUGACGACAUGCAGUUAAAAUCAGCAGGACAAGUGUCUCUUCCAAAAGAGCCAAUGGUGCUUUCUCCCUGGUUUCCAGUAUGGCAAGCGCAAAGGACCAAAAAGAACAGUUCCCGAAGGAUUGGCUCUCUGGACAGGUAUCAGUCAGACAGGCGGAGCUGGACUCCCUCACGCAGCUCGGACUGGACCUGAGUCACUGCUACCGCGCCUCGCUCCGGAACCAGCAGCCGCUAUCAGCCCGCGGGCCGGGCACCGAUCCAGGUACUGAAUCCAUCAGAGAGGGAGGAAGGAAUGAAUGAACGAAUAUAGCAGGAGUGUGUAGGAGGAGAGGCUGAGAGAUGAGCAUUGUGGAUAAUAUGUUCUGAUGUGUUUGUAUCAUUCUGGUUAUAGUAUGAAUUAAACUUAGCAGUACAUUAAAGAUACAUUCGUGCAAUAUAUUUCCUAAAAAGUAUCCAGCGCUGGCCUGCAUUGCUGCAUUUAGGGCUGAGUAUUGUUUUAAAACUUUUGUUACCGGUACAGACAUGAUACUUUUAAUUCGGUAUCAAAAACCAAACUAUACUUUUUUCCAUAACUUUUUCUUACUACAUUGUACAUAACUUUCUUACAUACUUUGUUCCCACACAAUGUAUUUAUUUAACAGCCGACAUGUAAUCAAUGGAAGACCAAAACUGCCCAAAUUAAAAAUAAAUAAAUAAAUAAAUAGAUAAACUAAUGAAAA
Molecule: long non-coding RNA, 1455 nt
Filed under: Astyanax mexicanus (Mexican tetra)
Lineage: Eukaryota; Metazoa; Chordata; Actinopteri; Characiformes; Acestrorhamphidae
Description: lncRNA (ENSAMXG00005017535.1)
Source: RNAcentral